UACGAAGGGGGCUAGCGUUGUUCGGAAUCACUGGGCGUAAAGCGCACGUAGGCGGCCUUUUAAGUCAGGGGUGAAAUCCCGGGGCUCAACCCCGGAACUGCCUUGGAUACUGGCAGUCUUGAGUCCGGGAGAGGUGAGCGGAACUCCGAGUGGAGCGGUGAAAUUCGUAGAUAUUCGGAAGAACACCAGUGGCGAAGGCGGCUCACUGGCUCGGUACUGACGCUGAGGUGCGAAAGCGUGGGGAGCAAACAGG
RNAcentral lists this unclassified non-coding RNA (253 nucleotides) under uncultured Alphaproteobacteria bacterium. RNAcentral's name for it is "contains 16S-23S intergenic spacer region". It matches the Rfam family "Bacterial small subunit ribosomal RNA", at positions 524 to 776 of the family's 1533-position model. The record is from RNAcentral. Lineage: Bacteria; Pseudomonadati; Pseudomonadota; Alphaproteobacteria.